This 78-nucleotide ribosomal RNA is filed under the name Amblypharyngodon mola (mola carplet). RNAcentral's name for it is "partial 16S ribosomal RNA". The record is from RNAcentral. Lineage: Eukaryota; Metazoa; Chordata; Actinopteri; Cypriniformes; Danionidae.
GCCAAACAGCUAGCUUAUUCACCAAUAAAAAUUUUCACCAUAAACAAAAAAUUAACCUAAAACCAUAAAUUAAAACAU